UACGUAGGGGGGCAAGCGUUGUUCGGAUUCAUUGGGCGUAAAGGGUGCGUAGGCGGCGCGGUAAGUCGGGUGUGAAAUCUCGGAGCUUAACUCCGAAACUGCAUUCGAUACUGCCGUGCUUGAGGACUGGAGAGGAGACUGGAAUUUACGGUGUAGCGGUGAAAUGCGUAGAUAUCGUAAGGAAGACCAGUGGCGAAGGCGGGUCUCUGGACAGUUCCUGACGCUGAGGCACGAAGGUCAGGGGAGCAAACGGG
Molecule: ribosomal RNA, 254 nt
Filed under: uncultured bacterium
Lineage: Bacteria
Description: partial 16S ribosomal RNA
Rfam family: Bacterial small subunit ribosomal RNA
Source: RNAcentral